GCGGUACCGUCAUCCCCACGUGCUAUUAACACGUAGUCUUUCUUCCCACUUAACAGAAGUUUACGAUCCUAAAACCUUCAUCCUUCACGCGGCGUCGCUGCGUCAGGCUUUCGCCCAUUGCGCAAUAUUCCUC
This 133-nucleotide ribosomal RNA is filed under the name uncultured bacterium. RNAcentral's name for it is "partial 16S ribosomal RNA". The record is from RNAcentral.